RNAcentral lists this long non-coding RNA (301 nucleotides) under Nicotiana benthamiana. RNAcentral describes it as "long non-coding RNA (NBEN_LNC006232)". The record is from RNAcentral. Lineage: Eukaryota; Viridiplantae; Streptophyta; Magnoliopsida; Solanales; Solanaceae.
UUGCAACUAAACUAUCUGAAAAGUUCCUUAUACUCCUUAUCAACUUUUUAGUAUAUGCUUUGGUUGGAAUUAUCCCUGGUGCACUGAUAUUGGCACGUCUUUAGCAUGUCGGUGCGACCUUUAUGAGCGCACAAAAAAGAAAAGAAAAGAAAAAGAUUUAGCGGAGUUUAUCCAGUUCUCUUUGUAUCUGUAAUCAGAGCAUUCACAUAUGACAGUGUAUAUUGUGGAGGCUGAUUAGGACAUUGGGAGAGUAUGGUGGUUGUUAAUUGGACAAAUAAAAAGAGAUAUGCCUUUGGCUGUG